UGUCCAAGUGUGCUUUUAGAGUGAUA
RNAcentral lists this non-coding RNA (26 nucleotides) under Rattus norvegicus (Norway rat). Lineage: Eukaryota; Metazoa; Chordata; Mammalia; Rodentia; Muridae. The record is from RNAcentral.